This 2898-nucleotide long non-coding RNA is filed under the name Musa acuminata (dwarf banana). RNAcentral's name for it is "long non-coding RNA (MACU_LNC002280)". The record is from RNAcentral. Lineage: Eukaryota; Viridiplantae; Streptophyta; Magnoliopsida; Zingiberales; Musaceae.
UUGUUCGACUAACAAGCAUUCUAAUCAGUAGGACACCUUGAAAAACUGAAAGAAGGAGAAAGAAAUUCCAGUCAUCAGCUAAAGUAAACAAAGAUUUUCAAGUUGUGGUAACUCAUUGAGUGCCACAAAAGAAAUUCUUUCAACUAAUUACAUGCCAAAACAGAUAUUUUUCAUACAGGGAUGUUGACUGCACUAGCACUCAUAAAACCUACAUAAUUGUUUAUCUCUCUUCAUUCAUAAACUGAUAUUUUCUCCUUUUCUUUUGAAGAUUCUUUUCUCAAUCCAAAUUAAAAAAAGAUGUUUGCAUAGGUAGCGAGGAACAACGAAUGGCAGCUUUUUCGUUCCAUUUCUAUAUAUUUCAGAUUCUUGUAUACACCAAGUGCAGUUCUUCAUAUCUCGUUGUCACGGUUAGCUGAUUGGAUAUAUGUCGUCUACAUCCAUCUAAUCAGUAACAACUACUGUGUUGCGAUGCAAUUUGCCACCGAUCAAGAGUCCUCUUCCCCAGCCCUAGCAACUUUACAAGAGAGUCAAAAGAUUUCAUUCCGGCAAUAUCUGGGCCAACCCAGAUCUUUCCAGAGCGAGUCAACAGAUGGGCCAAAGCAGUUUUCACAAUAAGGACCAGCAGUUUUGAGACCCUGUCAGAUGGACACCAAAGUGGCAUGAUAACAGUAGUCUGAGACCACUUGAAGGCUUUUAUCACACACAAAGGUUGAUCACAUCUGAACAUUGUUUGAUGUGUCAACAGAUUCAACUCCUAGUUCCAACAUUUAUUCACUUAAAGAGAUCUAACUCGACCAAACUCCCAGUAAUCUCCAACUGAUCAGACUCAUGGAACAUAGCUGAAGCAGUAAGGCAGAUUCCAGCAUUUCAACAUCCGAGUCACCAACUAUAAAUGUUUCCUGAAUAAUAAGUGUCAAACUAUCACCACUCUUCUAACUAAGUGGUGCUUCUAAGACUAGCUAAUGUUGAUUAUCUAAUCUGGCAACACAUUUAAAAUUCCAUGCAUUAAACUUUUUUUUUCUAAUAGAAUUCAUUAGCAAGGAUACCAUCACGACCAGACUUGAUGGAAUAAGUGAUGCAUAAACUUAUUGAGCCCAAAUUGUUGGCCCAAAAUACUUAAGCCCAAAUUAAUAGUCAUUCACCCAUCAAACACUUAUAAACCGAUUCAAAUCUUCCCCUACUUCCGAUAUGAGACUAAACUAUGGCUAUUACGAUAUUCCAUAUUUAAAAGCUUCACAUCCUUGUCAAUAUCUGAAACAUAACCCAAAAUCAAACCCUUAGUAGGGUGCACAUAAGAACCAAAUCUAGUGUUGCCUCUACAUUAUGAUGUGCCGCUAGACUCAUCUAGCUAUAGCCCUUUCCCCUCACUAGGCCUAAUAUUAGGACAGCUCUGAUAUCAUUUGUCCUUAAACACUAUUAACUUAUUGAGUCUAACAACUAACCCUUCUGUUCAAGUCAAUAAUAAUACACUCAACAAUACCAAACAAGCCAAGAAUAAAAAAUACAUCCGUAAAUUAUUCAAAGCUCAAUACAUGAACUAUUUUGUUAAGAUCAAAUCCUUUAUUGCAUAUCAAUUGGACACUAUUUGAAAGUACAGGGGUAUUUUGGUAAAUUAGACUUGGAGUUCAUAUGUUUUAGUAUCCACUGGAUCAGAGAAUGUCAAUAGUAUGUGACUCCUAAAACAUAGUAGCAUACAGUAUGCAUUCCAAGGGUCUUGUUCCCUGAUUCAAAACUCUUGGAAUGAAAAUUCAAUAAAAUCAAAGGGCAGUCUGGUGUAAAUAAUAGCAGACUAAAGCCCGGCCAGUCCAUAAAAAAUUCCUGUCUCAGAAUUGUUACCUGGGGACAAAAGAAAGAGAUGCGAAGAAAGAGAACAAGGAAGAAAGAGAGAAAGGGAGAAGACAAAACACAGAGAAAGAGAGGAAAAAGUAAAAGGGAGGAAAAGAAGAGAAGCGGAACUUUCAGUAUGGUUUUCAAGUUUGAUUUUUUAGGAAUCAAUCUACUAACCAUUACACAAUCCAUUGUUUGAGAUCCAAAACCUCCAAUACCGACUGUCUAUAUAGCAGCAUGAGUUUACCUUAUUUGAAAUAAACAAACCAAUUUUUAAUUAACUCGCAACCUCUAGUAUCUAGAUGGUGUUAGAGCUUGAAUCCAACAUGAGAAAAUAUCAGAUUUAUCUUUGAUUCAAAUUAAGCAAAAGUGGGUGAGAUUAGCAAUGAAUGAGUGGGGUCUUACUAAAUUUUUUGACACUUUAAUCCAAAGGCAAACUGCUACCAUUUGCCUAGCCCAAGGAUAGACACGAGUAGCGAAUACGGUAUAAUGGUUGAAUGCAAUCCAAACAAAAAACAGUGGAGGAGCUCCCAUUAAUGAGAGAUUUAGAGAAACUCGAUGUAUGCAGUUUUGUCUAUAAAUAGAGAGCUUGUCUUCAUGACUCGAUUCGUAGUCAACAAUCUAGCAAUUAGGUGACCUUACUAUUGAACCCGAACCAAACAAAUACCUAAAAAACACAAUAAUUUCAUUGUUUUCCUAAAAGCUUCCUUUAAAAUAUGGGUGAUUGCACAGUUAGAUAAUUUUGAUCAAUGAUUAUAAUAAAUGUGGGAUGAUAAAGUUAACCUUUGAUAUAAUGGUAAGAUUUCUCCUUUAAGACCUAGGUGAUCAAGAUUUGGACUGAUUACAGAUUACCCAUUGUAAUUAGCUACCUUUAGUAUCCCGGUUCCUACAUUUUCAAAAGUUACAUUGGGAUCUCUAUACUUAAGAAAGUAAAACAUUAAAAUUCCUAUACAGGGUUUAAAAAUAAUUUCAUAGGGUUAAAAAGGAGGGGUUUUAUUGGAGCAAUGGGGAUAAAUGUUUCACUUUCGUGAAUAUAGGGAUCUCAAUGUAACUUUUAAAUAUAUAGGGAUC